RNAcentral lists this long non-coding RNA (947 nucleotides) under Homo sapiens (human). Its description in RNAcentral is "HSALNT0401556". The record is from RNAcentral. Lineage: Eukaryota; Metazoa; Chordata; Mammalia; Primates; Hominidae.
CAGAUACUCUCUUCCCUUCUCGACCCAUAGACAAAAUCCUCCCAGGGAAGGAGAGGCAGCUGCUCACACACCAAAGGGAGAUGAAUGUGAGCCUCUGGUUCUUCCUGGAUUUGUUCAGGAGUCGGCAUAUGUUUAGGAAGGUGGCCAGGCCCCCUUCCCAGAGAAUGACCCACCAUGGGUCUGAGCUGGUCCAGGAAAUCCACCUUUGCUAGUGAUUUGUCCUGAGGCUGACAGGACAUCCAACCCUCUGGCUAUGGCAUCUUGGAGGAACAGGCAGGCCUUGAAAAUAGCAGAAAUUCCGAAUUCCCCUGCCCCGGGAGGACUCAAAGGACCCUGCUGAGGACAGAGCUGAUAUGGCCUCAGAAUAAAGAUGAGGGAAGACCAUCCCAAGGAAGACCCCUCUAGCCCAUGGCAAAAGGGCUGGAAUACGCAAGGAUUUGAAAAGCAAGUUUUGCUUUCCAUAUAAACCUAAGCAAGUCGCUUAAUCUGUGAGCCUCAACUACUUUACUUGUGCAAUGGGCAUGUUGCUGGUAGUGGUGAUAGCAGGGAGCCACCGAGAGAGCUUCCAAGUGUGCCAUCUAAGCCCUCCUCUGGGGAAGGGAAGCUCCUCUGGGGAAGGGAAACUGGACCCCCGGGAAAAUUUAUUCUCCCAGGGACGAACAUCCAGACAUUUCCCUGUAGGAGCCUCAGUGUGUUCAGAUGUUCACUGUCCAGUAGAAACAAGACAUCUAGGCAACUCUCCCAUCUCACCAAGCCUCUGCUCUCUUCUGUGGCCACUGUGGGGUUGUGAGAGUAAUGUCAAGACCCAACCCAAUUAGAACACAGGGAAUUUUGCCUGGGAAAGGGAGCCCUUCUACCCUACACCCCUGCUUUCUCUCUUCCAAGGAUCAGGUCUGAUUCAUGUCUGCAUCCUAAAGGCUACAAAUAAACUGUGUCCGGAAAGGAAA